This 100-nucleotide transfer RNA is filed under the name Nitrososphaera viennensis EN76. It matches the Rfam family "tRNA". Rfam says of the family: Transfer RNA (tRNA) molecules are approximately 80 nucleotides in length. Lineage: Archaea; Thermoproteati; Nitrososphaerota; Nitrososphaeria; Nitrososphaerales; Nitrososphaeraceae. The record is from Rfam by way of RNAcentral.
GCCGGGGUCGCCUAGCCCGGGAGGGCGCAAGCCUGGAAAAAUUCAUCCAGCCAGCUUGUGACCCGUAAGGGUCCCGAGGGUUCAAAUCCCUCUCCCGGCG